AGUGAACGCUGGCGGUAGGCCUAACACAAGCAAGUCGAACGGCAGCACAGUAAGAGCUUGCUCUUACGGGUGGCGAGUGGCGGACGGGUGAGGUAUACAUCGGAAUCUACUUUUUCGUGGGGGAUAACGUAGGGAAACUUACGCUAAUACCGCAUAAGACCUACGGGUGAAAGCAGGGGAUCUUCGGACCUUGCGCGAUUGCAUGAGCCGAUGUCGGAUUAGCUAGUUGGCGGGGUAAAGGCCCACCAAGGCGACGAUCCGUAGCUGGUCUGAGAGGAUGAUCAGCCACACUGGAACUGAGACACGGUCCAGACUCCUACGGGAGGCAGCAGUGGGGAAUAUUGGACAAUGGGCGCAAGCCUGAUCCAGCCAUGCCGCGUGGGUGAAGAAGGCCUUCGGGUUGUAAAGCCCUUUUGUUGGGAAAGAAAAGCAGCAGGUUAAUACCCCGCUGUUCUGACGGUACCCAAAGAAUAAGCACCGGCUAACUUCGUG
RNAcentral lists this ribosomal RNA (492 nucleotides) under uncultured bacterium. RNAcentral's name for it is "partial 16S ribosomal RNA". It matches the Rfam family "Bacterial small subunit ribosomal RNA", at positions 29 to 507 of the family's 1533-position model. The record is from RNAcentral.